CCUAAAGGCGUAAUGAAAGUAUAGAUUGUCUUAAGACAAUUGAGAGAAGAUGGGUUACGUUACGAUGUAAUCCCGCAUUCUCAGGACGUUCUAUUCUCAUUGAGAAAGGGCGUACCUAGAGCGUACACGUUGGGACCCGAAAGAUGGUGAACUAUGCCUGGUCAGGAUGAAGUCAGGGGAAACCCUGAUGGAGGUCCGUAGCGAUUCUGACGUGCAAAUCGAUCGUCUGAACUGGGUAUAGGGGCGAAAGACUAAUCGAACCAUCUAGUAGCUGGUUCCCUCCGAAGUUUCCCUCAGGAUAGCUGGCAUUUAUAWUUUUGAGUCUCAUCUGGUAAARSGAAUGAUUAGAGGUCUUGGGAUCGAAACGAUCUCAACCUAUUCUCAAACUUUAAAUGGGUGAGAUCUCUGGCUUGCUUAAAUUUAUGAACCCACGAGAUUUCGGAUCAAAGUGCCAAGUGG
RNAcentral lists this ribosomal RNA (459 nucleotides) under Microplitis sp. BJS-2011. RNAcentral describes it as "eukaryotic LSU rRNA". It matches the Rfam family "Eukaryotic large subunit ribosomal RNA", at positions 707 to 1129 of the family's 3401-position model. The record is from RNAcentral. Lineage: Eukaryota; Metazoa; Arthropoda; Insecta; Hymenoptera; Braconidae.